GCUUGUCUCGAAAAGCAGGCAAAGGCUACAAGAUGAUUCGUUCAAGUCAAACUCUGUUUUGCACCUAACUAACAUAUUCCAACUUCGAAGACAUGCCCGUCAAGCUCAAGCACACUCUCGCAUAACGGACUAAGGGGGGGGGGCUUAUUGUUGGACAUGGGCCUUGCCCCCUAUAUGUUAGGAGGCCCAAAACAGAUGUCCACAAGUUUAUAAGGG
RNAcentral lists this long non-coding RNA (216 nucleotides) under Arabidopsis lyrata. RNAcentral describes it as "long non-coding RNA (ALYR_LNC000991)". Lineage: Eukaryota; Viridiplantae; Streptophyta; Magnoliopsida; Brassicales; Brassicaceae. The record is from RNAcentral.